CAUUUUCCUAACGGCCUUAUCCAGGGCAGACCCUAUGGGCAGCUGGAGUCUAUCUCAGCAAUCAUAGGGUGCAAGAAAAGGAACAAUACCAGAACAGGUUGCCAGUCCAGCACAGGCCGAACACACAUGCACAAGGCAAUUUAACAACACCAGUUAAUUUAACCUGCAUGUCUUUAAACUGGGGUGUGUAAAUAUAACUUCAUGCCAAAACUUUCACAUAUCUGAUAUUAAUA
Molecule: long non-coding RNA, 233 nt
Organism: Erpetoichthys calabaricus (reedfish)
Lineage: Eukaryota; Metazoa; Chordata; Cladistia; Polypteriformes; Polypteridae
Exons: 2
Source: RefSeq, a predicted model, not a curated record